This 85-nucleotide transfer RNA is filed under the name Echinostoma caproni. It matches the Rfam family "tRNA". From Rfam's summary of the family: Transfer RNA (tRNA) molecules are approximately 80 nucleotides in length. Their secondary structure includes four short double-helical elements and three loops (D, anti-codon, and T loops). Lineage: Eukaryota; Metazoa; Platyhelminthes; Trematoda; Plagiorchiida; Echinostomatidae. The record is from Rfam by way of RNAcentral.
GGUCUCGUAGCUCAGUUGGGAGAACGUUCACCGCAUGGUGACAUCCGUGUGUGUGUGUGUGUGAGUUCGAAUCCCACCGAGGCUA